AGCGAUGAGCCGCCGCCGCGUUUUUGCGCUUUGGCGUAAAGAUGAGGAAAGUCCGGGCUCCGCAGGGCACGAUGCCGGGUAACACCCGGGCGGAGGAGACGCAAGGCUCCUUCGACAGAGAGCGCAACAGAAACAUACCGCCUGGCUCCAUUUUGGGGUUCUGGUAAGGGUGAAAUGGCGGGGUAAGAGCCCACCUCCGGUUCGGCAACGUUCCGGCAGUGCAAGCCUCAUCGGGAGCAAAGUCAAGCAGCGGCAGGAUGGCCCGUCCGCGUUUGCCGUGGGUAGACUGCACUGACCGUCUUUGCAAAAAGGCGGCACAGAUAGAUGGCGGCCACGGUUAUUCCGUGAACAGAAUCCGGCUUAUGGUUCAUCGCUUUUU
RNAcentral lists this RNase P RNA (379 nucleotides) under Spirochaetaceae bacterium. RNAcentral describes it as "RNase P RNA component class A". It matches the Rfam family "Bacterial RNase P class A". From Rfam's summary of the family: Ribonuclease P (RNase P) is a ubiquitous endoribonuclease, found in archaea, bacteria and eukarya as well as chloroplasts and mitochondria. Its best characterised activity is the generation of mature 5'-ends of tRNAs by cleaving the 5'-leader elements of precursor-tRNAs. The record is from RNAcentral. Lineage: Bacteria; Pseudomonadati; Spirochaetota; Spirochaetia; Spirochaetales; Spirochaetaceae.